CCUGGGGAGUACGGCCGCAAGGCUAAAACUCAAAGGAAUUGACGGGGGCCCGCACCAGCGGCGGAGCAUGUUGCUUAAUUCGACGCAACGCGAAGAACCUUACCAAGGUUUGACAUCACCCGUGGACUCGCAGAGAUGUGAGGUCAUUUAGUUGGCGGGUGACAGGUGGUGCAUGGCAGUCGUCAGCUCGUGUCGUGAGAUGUUGGGUUAAGUCCCGCAACGAGCGCAACCCUUGUUCCAUGUUGCCAGCACGUAAUGGUGGGGACUCAUGGGAGACUGCCGGGGUCAACUCGGAGGAAGGUGGGGAUGACGUCAAGUCAUCAUGCCCCUUAUGUCUUGGGCUGCAAACAUGCUACAAUGGCCGGUACAAUGGGCGUGCGAUACCGUAAGGUGGAGCGAAUCCCUAAAAGCCGGUCUCAGUUCGGAUUGGGGUCUGCAACUCGACCCCAUGAAGGUGGAGUCGCUAGUAAUCGCGGAUCAGCAACGCCGCGGUGAAUACGUUCCCGGGCCUUGUACACACCGCCCGUCACGUCAUGAAAGUCGGCAACACCCGAAACCUGCGGCCUAACCCCUUGUGGGAGGGAGUGAGU
Molecule: ribosomal RNA, 590 nt
Filed under: Actinomycetales bacterium JAMSTEC31
Lineage: Bacteria; Bacillati; Actinomycetota; Actinomycetes; Actinomycetales
Description: bacterial SSU rRNA
Rfam family: Bacterial small subunit ribosomal RNA
Source: RNAcentral